UACGUAGGGUGCAAGCGUUAAUCGGAAUUACUGGGCGUAAAGCGUGCGCAGGCGGCUUUGCAAGACAGAUGUGAAAUCCCCGGGCUUAACCUGGGAACUGCAUUUGUGACUGCAAGGCUAGAGUACGGUAGGAGGGGGAUGGGAAUUCCGCGUGUAGCAGUGAAAUGCGUAGAUAUGCGGAGGAACACCGAUGGCGAAGGCAAUCCCCCUGGACCUGUACUGACGCUCAUGCACGAAAGCGUGGGGAGCGAACAGG
This 256-nucleotide ribosomal RNA is filed under the name uncultured bacterium. RNAcentral's name for it is "partial 16S ribosomal RNA". It matches the Rfam family "Bacterial small subunit ribosomal RNA", at positions 524 to 776 of the family's 1533-position model. The record is from RNAcentral.